RNAcentral lists this long non-coding RNA (263 nucleotides) under Trifolium pratense (red clover). RNAcentral's name for it is "long non-coding RNA (TPRA_LNC004657)". The record is from RNAcentral. Lineage: Eukaryota; Viridiplantae; Streptophyta; Magnoliopsida; Fabales; Fabaceae.
GAGAAAGUGUUUAAGUAUUUGAGAGAGGAUAUGAAACUUGUUGGAAGGGAAUGCUACUUAUAUUAUUGAGUGUUUGUAAUUUUUGGCUUGGUUUACAAAUGACUACCUCUCCCCUAUUUAUAGUCUUCAAGGGAGAGUUCUACAUACUCCUAGAGACUCUUCUACAUACUUCUAAGAGAGAGUUCUACAAACUUCUUUAUACUUCUACAUACAUUUUCUACUAUGACUUCUACUUAUUUCUACAUAUCUCUAGAACAUUCUUU